RNAcentral lists this ribosomal RNA (254 nucleotides) under uncultured bacterium. Its description in RNAcentral is "partial 16S ribosomal RNA". It matches the Rfam family "Bacterial small subunit ribosomal RNA", at positions 524 to 776 of the family's 1533-position model. The record is from RNAcentral.
GACGGAGGGUGCUAGCGUUGUUCGGAAUCACUGGGCGUAAAGGGCGCGUAGGCGGCCCAUGCCGUCGUCUCGUGAAAGCCCGGGGCUCAACCCCGGAGGUGCGGCCGAGACCCAUGGGCUGGAGGCCGGAAGAGGAGGGUGGAAGACCCAGUGUAGAGGUGAAAUUCGUAGAUAUUGGGUGGAACACCGGUGGCGAAAGCGGCUCUCUGGUCCGGUUCUGACGCUGAGGCGCGAAAGCGUGGGGAGCAAACAGG